RNAcentral lists this ribosomal RNA (497 nucleotides) under uncultured bacterium. Its description in RNAcentral is "partial 16S ribosomal RNA". It matches the Rfam family "Bacterial small subunit ribosomal RNA", at positions 28 to 507 of the family's 1533-position model. The record is from RNAcentral.
GAUGAACGCUGGCGGCGUGCCUAAUACAUGCAAGUCGAACGAACAGACGAGGAGCUUGCUCCUCUGACGUUAGCGGCGGACGGGUGAGUAAUACGUGGAUAACCUACCUAUAAGACUGGGAUAACCUCGGGAAACCGGAGCUAAUACCGGAUAAUAUAUUCAACCGCAUGGUUCAAUAGUGAAAGACGGUUUUGCUGUUACUUAUAGAUGGAUCCCCGCCGCAUUAGCUAGUUGGUAAGGUCACGGCCUACCAAGGCAGCGAUGCGUAGCCGACCUGAAAGGGGGAUCGGCCACACGGGAGGGGAGACAGGGUCCAGAGUCCUAAGAGAGGCAGCAGUAGGGAAUCGGCGGCAAUGGGGGGAAGCCUGGCGGAGCAGCGGGACGUGAGUGAUGGAGGUGUUGGGAUCGUAAAGCUGUGUUAUGAGGGAAGAACAAAUGUGAGAGUAACUGUGCACGGAUUGACGGUACCUAAACAGGAAGCCACGGCUAACUACGUG